RNAcentral lists this ribosomal RNA (446 nucleotides) under uncultured bacterium. Its description in RNAcentral is "partial 16S ribosomal RNA". It matches the Rfam family "Bacterial small subunit ribosomal RNA", at positions 356 to 794 of the family's 1533-position model. The record is from RNAcentral.
AGGGAAUCUUCGGCAAUGGGGGUAACCCUGACCGAGCAACGCCGCGUGAGUGAAGAAGGUUUUCGGAUCGUAAAGCUCUGUUGUAAGUCAAGAACGGGUGUGAGAGUGGAAAGUUCACACUGUGACGGUAGCUUACCAGAAAGGGACGGCUAACUACGUGCCAGCAGCCGCGGUAAUACGUAGGUCCCGAGCGUUGUCCGGAUUUAUUGGGCGUAAAGCGAGCGCAGGCGGUUUGAUAAGUCUGAAGUUAAAGGCUGUGGCUCAACCAUAGUUCGCUUUGGAAACUGUCAAACUUGAGUGCAGAAGGGGAGAGUGGAAUUCCAUGUGUAGCGGUGAAAUGCGUAGAUAUAUGGAGGAACACCGGUGGCGAAAGCGGCUCUCUGGUCUGUAACUGACGCUGAGGCUCGAAAGCGUGGGGAGCGAACAGGAUUAGAUACCCUGGUAGU